UGGCAGCUGGGAUAGCUCUCCAGGCCAUGUGGAGAUUGGGAUGUGUCCCAAACUCCACAUAGUUGGAAGGCAGCAUGCCACUGAGCUGGGACAGCUCUCCCUGCCCCCUGUGGUUCCCUGCUUCCUAGGCUGACUGGAAGCAAUUUGCUCCUGGUCAGCACCUACACAUAUUCUUUGGUGCAUUAGUUUAAUGUGCCAAGUUUAAUGUGACAGAGUAGAUUAAUUAGUAGAUACAGGUAUGUCCCAGGGCGAUGAAAAGAGAGGGACGAAAACCCCUCUCCUGCGGUUGGGGCCAUGAUGGGGUUAGCCCACUGCAACCCCGGAGAAACAGCCCUGCGAGCAGGGUGAACUUACCUUUUGCAAAGGCAAUGAGCCAGGGCAAGCCAUGAGGGAACGAACCUCCUGUGUGGUUCAUCAGCUGCUUUUCUAUAUGGCUGGAACUGGCACGGGUGCCCAGCUGUGUUAAAAGCCGGUAUCGGGGAAAAGGCUGCGGAAGCACAGCAGAGAGGAGGAUGUGAGCUCCCCUCUUGGACUGACCAGGAACCCUCCUGGUCCUGAGGGGAGAACCUGGGAGUACCCAGCACCAGGCCCAGAGAGUGCGCUAGGACCUGGAAUCACACAGAGGGACGAUCGGCACGUUCGGCACAUUCUGACACAGGACACGUGAGUAGGAAGGAGGCCCCAGACCCUCUGAAGUUUAAGUUGGUCAAUGUUCCUUUUUGUUCCUUUUUAAGGCCCCAUAGGCCAUGGAAGAAGGCCAGGGGAUUAACGCUGCGGCGGAGCGUUGACUACAAAGGACCAACUCAUGGUAUCAUAAUAAACUCUAGUUUACUGGACAGGAUGUGAAGUUACCAAUAAAAUCAUAAAUGCAAACUUUGAGUUAUGGGUGGUACUGGUCACCUUAGCGCACACACACACAUGCACUCACUCAUUCAAACCCAUGUAGUAUAGUAUAUGGUAGCUGCUGUAAUGUGUGCGGGAGCACUGGUGUUAGUAUAUCUGCCUAUCCGAGGCCCUGGAGUCUGCUGUUGAUGGUCAGCUUCGGGGGUCACCUGUUUGUCCGUCUGUCUCGGUAGGUUAAGUGCAAAACGAGAGGGUGCCACUGGGGGUUACGCUUCACUGCCUUUUAUCCCUUUCUGGCAGACUUGUGUGAUCCCCCAGCAUCAUCUUGCCUACCCAAUCCUGAGGUCGCUGUCCCAUGUGGGCCUUGAGUAGUACCUGACAGCUGUUAGUCACAGGGGUCUCUGCCUGCUGGUACCUGAAAUUUUGGGAGUCCACCCUUGACUUAUUGACUUAAUGGCUGUAUUGUCAUGGGUUACAGGAAUAGUCUAUAGGGUGAGUGCUCAAGUUCCAUGAAUCAGUUCUUUAGCUUGAUUAGCUUAAAAUGGAGUUCCUUUGGCUAGGCUAUUGUCUACUGAUGAUCAUCAUUCACUCGCAUUCACUCAACAGAUUUCAUCACUUUACAAUUACAAUUUCAAUGCAGUUUUAACAAUGGUCCAGGGUGUAACUUCAUUCUACAGGGAGUACAUUCCUUAAGAAUUUAAAAGCAUAAAAUAUAAAAUACAAAAUGCCAUGGUAAAGAUGAGACAGAUGAAAUAUGAAAAUGCACUGUGAGAAAUAUAUAAAAAUGCAAUGUGAGGUAGUGAGGAUCAAAGGCUAAGUGAGCUAGGUUAGCACAGGAUAUAUUUACCAUCUUCGCAGUGGAUAUUUUAGUUCUUUUGUUUUCUUUAGUCACGCUGAGCUCAAUUAAUAUGUAGAUGUAGUUUCUAGGUUUCUCCUACAGAAAGCCACUUUAGCUUUCUGACUGGCUCUGAGUCUUGCCACACCCAUGCAAUGAGUAUGCUAGGUCUCUGCCAAUACUUAGAAGGAAAAGAAAUGCACAAAAUGGGGGAGGGGGAGGAGGUGCAAGCAAGAAGGGGCUUCUGUUAUAUCCAUGUCCAGAAGAGAAAUGUACAAAGAGGGUUUUCUGCUACAAGAGCACCCUGGGGCUCCUCAGGGACUCCUGACAUCACAGGGCGAUCCACCAUCAGGGUUUACCCUGUAUCCAAGAUGCCCCAUCGGGGUGAGGGAGUAUUGAACUGACACCCGGUCCACGACAGGUGAGCCACAAACCAUGGCCAAAGAGAAAGAGGCAGCCAACCAAGUAAUUGCAGCGCUGGACCUUCAAGGUCAGGAGUGAGAAAUUGGGGACACUGGGGGUUGUGGUACCCAAGAAAGGGUUGGACUGACCAACAGAUGUCAUCCCAACAGGCUGGCAUGUCUGGAGCAUCUGUCAGAGAUGCUUCCCAGCAUACCAUCCCUUCACCAAGGGGAACCCCACUAUUGAACUCAACAUCAAAGGAAUGGCAGGCUAAUGUUGGGGUUUUCUCUGGGGAGGAGCCAAGCAAUCAAACAGGCAGCUGGAGCAGAUUGCGGCAGGCUCAGGGCUCCCGCUCGAGGGCCGCCCAGGAGAAGUUCCACGAAGCCCAGCGGGUGCAAGGUAUUAGAAUACAGUGCAUUAGACUUAUCUGCUAUGCAGUAAUUGCUGUGCACGUGUAGAUGGUGAUGCUUUACUGUGCAUUAUAUUAGUCUAAUGUGUAGUAAAGCAUCUUACGCAGAUGCACCCAGGGUGUGAUUACAUGCUACAAAGUAGCAAGUCCUAAUUUUAAGGAAUGCUAGGUUGGUGUUAAAGUUAGCACAUGCUGUGAGUAGUUGCUCCUCUGUAACGCUGGCAGCUCUGACAUGCUGCUAGAGGACUGGUGAGUAGGGGCUUGGCUAAGAGCUAACAAGUCUGUUCUGUACCUGUCCUGCUCACUUGGCUUUCUACUAGCAACACACAAAGCCCCAGCCCCAGCACGUAUGCCUGCAUGCACACACUGCCUGCCUCCCAGCCCCAAUGUGUGUCUGCAUGCAUGUGCACGCAUACACACACCCAGUCUCAGUAUACAUGCAUAGUCCCAGCCCCAGCACACAUGUACACACCUCAGCACCAAUUCAUGCACACAUACCCGCACACACCUAGCCCCAGUGUGUAUGCACCUAGCUCCAACAUGCACACACCCAGCCCUAGCGUGCACACACACACGCACCCCAGCACACAUGCAUCAGCUGCAGCCCCAGCAUGCACACUCCACCUCCAACCCCAGCAUGCACUCACACCCACACCCACACCCCCAGCUCAUAUCCUCCACAGCCCCAGCCCCAACACGCCCUCCCCUCCCCACAGCCUUGCAUGUACAUCCUACUCCACAUCCUCAGACUUGCCUUUGGCUGUGGUCACUGCCAUUUAGCACAGCUGGCACACUGGGUAGCAGCAGCAGUGGGUUGGGAGUUUUCAUCUGACUUUGCAGAGUGCAUGGAGCUAGGGAGCUCCCCUCAACUGUUCAUGCAGUUACAAGGUGGGGCUCCAUCCAGGCAGGGAUGACUCCCGUAGUGCUGCCCCCACUGCUGGACCUGGACUGUGCUGCUGAGCAGUGAUUUCAGUCAAAGGCAAGUCUGUGGGGACAGUGUGUGUGUGUGUGUGUGUGUGUGUGUGUGUGUGUGUGUGUGUGUGUGUGUGCGCACACGCGCGCGCUGGAGCUAUGUACAUGAGUGCAUGUACACAUGCAUGUUCUGGUGCUAUGUUCAUGAGUGUGUGUGCACAUACAUGUCCUAGGGCUGUGUAUACCUGUGUGCAUAUGUGUGCACAUGUAUGUGGGCUGGGGCUGUGUGUGUGGUUGUGUGUAUGUGGGUGUGUUGGCCAGCAGCUGUCCUCUUCACUCCCUUACUUUGCCCUUUCCUAACUCAUUAGCCACUGCUCCGCUGUCAGGCCUGCCAUUAGGGGGGCAUCAGAAUCCAGGAAGAAACCUAGUCCACUUGGGAGCAGUACUUCCUGGGAUACUGGAGGACCACAAAUUGGUUGUUUUAACUCCAUUCAACAUUUAGAAGAUAACCUAAAUCAAGCUUCCUAGCACAGUUCAGAGAUAAUCCUCAUCUCAAGUGGUAUGACUUUAAAAUGCCUAGAGGGCACUUAGCACUAGUUAACAAGCUUGAAGGAGCUAGUAUUCAAAUUUUAAGUAUCAUUAACAAGAGCUAAUUGCAAUGUGCAAUCUCACCCACACACAGGGCACAUCUACAUGAGGCACCAUUGUGCAAAGUAGCUUAUUCUACCCUGCAUUUGUGUGUCAUGGCAAAAACUGCGCGAAUGCACUAAUGUGCAGUAGAAUUAGUCUGCUGUGCAUUAAGCAUCAGAAAAACCCCAUUCACCAUUGCUACUGUGCAUUAGUGUGCAUUUAUGUAGUACCUUAUAUUAGAGGUACUAAACUAAAUGCGCAGCGGCAAAGGUGCACUAAUGAAUAUGUAGACGUGCCCACAGCUACUAUACAUGGGAUUACACUGUUCCAAAGGACAAACCAGCCACAUAGAAAUAAAAUUCCUCUUAAUCAGUGAUUCCACAAUUGCCCAUUGCAGCAUUUCUUGCACCUUCUUUUGAAUUAGCUGGUGCCUGUCACUGUCAGAUCCAUGGUUGCAUGGACUGCUGGCCAGACACAAGCUGGUAGUUUCUGUGUUCUUCUGCUCAUAGAAGAGGUGGACUUCACACAUUCUCUGUGUUGUAUCGGGUUUGUGCUUUUUUGGGUAGAAACAGACAUCACCUAAUUGAAGUGGAUCAGCAGAUGUGGUGUGACAAAAGGUGAGACAUCUAUUUCUCUGCAUUUAUUCAGCCAUAACAAUUGUUACUGUGUCACAAAUACCAUGUCAAGUAAUGUCUGUUUCUUCCUUAGAGGAGCAGGAGUGCAGGACUCCUGACUAGCACCUGCCUGACUUCAUUGCUAGCCCCCCAGACACGCUGCCAGCUCUAGACCCACUGCUACUGCUGCCACUGGAUGCUUUGCUGCUGCUGGACCCACUGCCGCCCCUGUGAUGGCCAUGGCAGCUGCCUUUGUGGCCUGGGUUGGAUCUAGACUAUAAGGAGCCCUGCAGUUCAGAUCUGUCCCAGCAGCCAAGGAACGGCUGCUUUCUGGUGGCAGAGCAUCUGGGCAACCUGGUGAAGGUCAGCCAGCCAUACUAUAGCACAGCAUGGAGAAAUCAACCUCCCAGGCUAAGGCCAAGAUCUGCAGGAACUGGCUGCUGGUAAUUGGGCUUCGACUUCCACACUUAGGCCUCUCAAUCAGAAUACACUUCACCUCCAUUAGCGCAGUGUGGUAGCAUCCACUUAAGAUGGCUGUGAAUUUGUCCCUUGAAAAAGGGUGACCCCAGCCCAGCAGGCUGAGGUUGUGAUCAAUCAGCGUGAUAACCCAAUGACAUCCUUUUGGAGUGGUGAUGCUUGUAUAGUGGGAUAAGCUGGUUAGCAGUGGGUGUGCAUAUGAUUGGCAUUCAGGAGGAAAGCAGCUCGUCUUUGUUCACUUUGCAUUAAGCUCUUUAAUUGCUGUGUCAAGAGGAACAGAAGAGAGUCUGGGAAUGAUCUGGAAAGACAACAACUGUUGCUAGGAAUUUCAGUCAUGGAACAAGCAGGAUUGCUGAGUUGUUUUCUCAGGCAGGUGCCUUUUCCCAGGAUCCUAGAAGGGCAGCACCAUUGCCCCAGCAGGUGUCCUAUUCUCAGCCCAUAUGUGGCUGUUUUGGAAAGCUGGAGGCAUUUCAGAGUUUUGCAAGUGUAAAGAAAACAUUGUUUUCCCCUAAAUUCCAGCUGAAGCCCUAGCCUGGUGUCACUCAGAAGUGACGGACAUAAUAAAUUCUUCAUAAGUGCAGAACUUAAUAUUUGGCUUGGUGAAUAGUCCCUUAGCUGCCAAGAUGAUCAGUGUCAUAUAAAUCCCGAGGAUUGGGAAUGAGAAUGGAAUCCAGACUUUCAGAGAAUUCACUCAGUAUUUGUCUAGUGAUGAAUGUAAAAAUGUAGGGUUCCCGCAUAAUCACCAGGAGACUCUUUCUUUUUGGCUGAGCCUGGGAAGAAAGUGUCUUAGAAAAUGGGGAGUACAGUGGAGCCUGGCAGAAUUAAGGCUACCUGAGUUAUUGACUCCUUUAUUAAAGAGGUUUCAGUGAAGUCCUUGGCACUCUCUCAGUGUUUCCCUCUACCCCAGCUGGAUGCAAAAGGCUGGAUGUAGGUAUCUCUGUGGGAUUCUCAAAGGUGCACUAUGCAGAAGGCCUAGGACUGGGUAGUCCCAGUGAUCACAUCAAGCUGUGACUGGAAUGAACUAAGGUUACUUUAUUUCGGGAUGCCUCACUUCGGGGGACAGACUGGUGAGACCAUUCAUGCAUAUCCUCCUCACUCUGCUGUUGGCCCUCCAAUCCCCUUCACAGCACAUAUGAUUUGUCCAUGCCUGUAUGACAGUCUGUGCCUUCAGCUGCAGAAGAGCCGAGUGGUUACGGCACUUGCCUAAGAAGUGGGAGAUGUAGUGAGCCUCUCCUUAGAGAACCGCUAGUAUGCCGAGUCUUCAGCCAUAGCUUUGGGCAAGCAUUCUAGGAUCCCAACACUUGCAUCACCUGUCACUGAUCAAUGCUGCUUUUGAAGUCAAGUUCUGACUCGGGACUCCCAAAAAGAAACCUUAUCCAGAUUCCCUCUCCCUGUAAAAAAUAGUGAGUUGCUGAAGAAGAAGCAAGAUUACCAUGUUGAUGAGUACCUGGACAAUACAGAGACUGAGAUAAGACUUGUCAGUCAAAUGUUUGUUGGACUGUAAUUUUACCUAUGCCUACACUGAAGACAGCAGCAUCUAUGGCAGCACCUGAGUCCCAGGACUGACUCACUUGAAAGACUGAGGGGGGUGGCUUUACUUGUCAAAGGCUGCAUCUACAUGUCACCCUACAUCACCGUAGUGACACACUGUGUCACUGUACAAUGUGCUAUGGUUAUGUAGCAAUCAUGUGAGUCUACACAUGACUGGCAGCUACUUUGCCAUAGAGGCAUGCUCCCCCAUUUUAGCAUGCGACUACAGCGAAGUAGUGGCCAAGACUAACUGUGCGCUGUGUUCACGGCACAGUACGGACAAUUACUAAAGAACAGCUCAGUAGCAACGUCGCUGUAGGGUGACGUGUAGAUGUACCCAAAGUGUUUAAAUGUGUGUUGAAUUCACAUUUAAAUGUCAAAGUGUUUUGCUGUGACUGGAAGGCAGGCAAGGUACAACACUUAGGUCAACCAUAUCUUCCAGGUCCUCCAGAUGACUGCUGCAGUGAGGAAAUUGGUAGUCCUUCUGGGCUUAGAUUUGCCCUAAUCUCCCUUGUCUGGAUCCACUUUCAGCACUCUGGUUUAUAGGACUCCCCUUUUUGUUUCUUAGGCCAUGUUCUAUUGGCCACAAAUUCAUCUGCCCAAUGAUUGAGAGUGCUCAUAUCCUUAGGAUUUCAGUUCAUCAUCCAAGUUUUAAGGUCUGGAGGACAUAUUUUGUAGAACUGCUCCAAACACAGAAAAUCAAGCAUCCCCCCAAACGAGACAGCAGCUCCCUUGUUCCAUUUUUGCCUAUAAUCCUUCAGUCUGGCUCUGACUUAUGCAUACAUCUCCUGAAUCUUUUGCAUUCCACAAAACUCUUUCCUAUGAGCUUCAUGAGUCAGUUUAAAUUUGAGCAGUAGGGCCUGCUUGAUCUGUUCAUAAUUCUGCCCAGUAUGUUCAAUCCAUAUGGUUAAAAACUUCCAGGUAUUCAAAACACAGUAAGGGAAUGAGACAGCAAAGCCAAUCCUCAUAGGAGAUCUGAUGCAGUCUAUAAACUCCCUCAAAAACAGAUACAAAUGUGUCCAUUUCCCCCUCUUUCUCAUUAAAUGUCAAAAAGUGGGCUGCCCCUACCAGGCCUGGAGCUCCUCAGUCUCUCUGGUGCUUUGAUCCAAAGCUCCUCCAUCUGAAGCUUCUUUUCUUCCAAAAUCAAUUGUUUCUUCUCCAGGCCAAUGUCGGGGGGAAGAGGAGCAUGAUGACACCCAACUGCUGCUUCAGCAGCUGUGAUGGUCAUCACUCACACUGCCCUCCUGUACUGGCAAAUCAGGCUUCAGUCCUGUUACUGGGUCUGGAACCAAUUCAAGACUCUGAGCUUGACUGCUGUGUUCCAGGAGCGUGAUUUGCUGUGCCUUGUUGGCCUUCCCAAAGGUUAGACCUCUUUCCUGGCACAAUUCAGUAAGCCUCUCCUUAGAGAUCUGCUUGUAUGCUAAAUCCUUGGCCAUAGCUUUGGAUAGGCACUCUGGGAUCUCACUGCUUGCACCACCUGUCACUAAUCAAUGCUGCUUUUGAGGCAAAAUUUUGCCUCAGGGCUCCCCAAGAAGAUGCCUUAUUUGGUCUCCCUCCUUCAGUGUCCCUUGAGGGGCAAAUCUCUGGCUUGUAGACCCUGGCUUCUCUUUGUCCCUGACAUUCGCAGUGAUCCAUAGCACCCCACUUCAGAGAUCUCCUUUUUUUGGUCAGCUCCUUCCUUUUUUUGUGUCCUUGUGACAAGGUUUUUAGCAGCAUUCACAGAUCUCAUUGGACUCUGACAGGCAGCACUGCACACUUUUGCUAUAGCCUUGAACUUGCCAACUAUGUACCUUAGCACCUGUGCCACCCCAGCCCAUAGUCAGCUCCCAUGAAAGGGGUGAUUCCUUCUUUGGCGGGGGCGUGGGGGUGCAGGGCAGGGUCAGACUGCUUAUAUCUCAGACAGCACAGUAGACUUCUCAGGUCCAAACAAACAGUCUUCAGUGUGCCAUAGCAUUUCUCUUGGUCCUCCCUCAGACUCCCUGGUCUGCCCUGCCUGAGAUUACUCUUUCUCUUCCUAGUUCUCACCUAGGCUUCUGUUACACAGGGAAGUUUUGAACCUGUGCCUCUGACUUCCCAGCACAGCACUGUAACCUUCUCGAAGCUAGUUAGGGACUAGACUCACUGCCUAGAGAGAAGCAGAGAUAUGUUCACCCCUUGGGAGCAAGCUUGUAGAGUAGAACCUGUGACCUAUUCCUGGCUGGGUCAGCAGCCACCUCACUGAGCCACACGCUUGGGCUCAGGAGCCUUGGGCUUCUUACUUCCUACUGGCCCUACAUUAUGUCUUGGCUGCCCAGGGGCGAGUUUCUAAAGAAGUGCUGGAGAAAGCGUGUGACAAUGCCUGUCCUGUGACAUGGUGCUCAGCAAGCUGAGCUGGGAAGCUGGCGAUACAGAUUCAACUCACUUCUGCAUGAGCCUACAGCUUGGGCUUUCAGCUUCCUGGGCAAGCACCUUAGCCACUCAGCUAUUGUAGCUAAACCAUGUGGUCCUUGUCCUCCUCCACCUUGAACACCCCCUAGUCAUAGGGUUUUGCCAGAUAGAAUUUCAUGACUUAAGUUGCCUAGCAUAUAUGCAUACAAAGUUGAGUGGUUGCCAAGGCCUGAGUGCUCCUACUGCAUUUGCUCAGUUACUAUGCAGACAUUUAUGUAUCUACAGUGACUGUGGAUCACAAAAAUUGAUAAGUGCCAAAAAUGGCUGGGUAACUGUCACUUGGGCGAAUGAAGUGAAGUAGGGUUCUUCCCCAGAGCUAUACAUAGUAUACCAACAUCUGUCUUACCUGUGCCAUGUAGAAACAAAAACAUUUCUGCUCUUACUCACUACUCUUAUUUCUCUUCCUCUUUGGAGGAUCAUAGUAGUCCUUUUUGCUACAGUAUCACCCUGGAAGCUCAGUUAAAUUGCUUCUAUAUUAGCAUAUCUAAAUUAAUUUUGGUAAGCCUGCUCAUUUGGUACCUCAUAUCUGUAGAUAUGACCACCUGUAUUUUUUGUUCAUAGUUCUAUAACUCUGUUUUGGUUAUUUGAAAAUUCAUUGUUUUUGAAUGGUCCCAAAUUACCAAGAGAUCCAAAUAUUCCUUUGUGACUGCUUUGUCCCCUUUGCUAUUUACCAUAUUACCCCUCUUUGUGCCAUCUAGAACUUAUACUUUCACUGAUGAAAAAUGCUGAAUACAGUCAAUCCUAGCACUGAUCUCUAUAAAACCUCUAGUCCUUUUCAGUGAUGAUAAGAGAGAUCUGUCAGAUAGGACUGUUCUUAAUCCAUUUAACAUAUGCUCUACUGAGGUCACAUAGUGCUAAUUUUCUACUUAUAAUGUGUGGUACUAAGUCAGAUUUUGUAUAAAAGUUCCUGCACAAAAAUUGUUUAAAAGCACCAUUUUUUUACAGACCUCUGGGCAGUGCCCUUUAUCAACCAACCUUGUAAACCAUGUAAUUUCAUGAAUA
Molecule: long non-coding RNA, 10081 nt
Organism: Alligator mississippiensis (American alligator)
Lineage: Eukaryota; Metazoa; Chordata; Crocodylia; Alligatoridae
Exons: 4
Source: RefSeq, a predicted model, not a curated record